GGGAUUGUGGCUCAGGGGUAGAGCGCUCACCUAGCAUGUACGAGGGGCCCUGGGUUCGAUCCUCAGCAACACA
RNAcentral lists this transfer RNA (73 nucleotides) under Marmota monax (woodchuck). Its description in RNAcentral is "tRNA.Ala". Lineage: Eukaryota; Metazoa; Chordata; Mammalia; Rodentia; Sciuridae. The record is from RNAcentral.